RNAcentral lists this ribosomal RNA (441 nucleotides) under uncultured bacterium. RNAcentral describes it as "partial 16S ribosomal RNA". It matches the Rfam family "Bacterial small subunit ribosomal RNA", at positions 338 to 795 of the family's 1533-position model. The record is from RNAcentral.
CCUACGGGUGGCUGCAGUGGGGGAUAUUGCACAAUGGGGGGAACCCUGAUGCAGCGACGCCGCGUGGGUGAAGGAGUGCUUCGGCAUGUAAAGCUCUAUCGGCAGGGAAGAAGCAAGACGGUACCUGACUAAGAAGCCCCGGCUAACUACGUGCCAGCAGCCGCGGUAAGACGUAGGGGGCGAGCGUUAUCCGGAUUCACAGGGUGUAAAGGGAGCGUAGGCGGUCAUGGAAGCCAGGGGUGAAAGCCCGGGGCUCAACCCCGGGACUGCCCGUGAAACUGGAUGGCUGGAGUGCAGGAGUGGCAGGCGGAAUUCCUGGUGUAGCGGUGAAAUGCGUAGAUAUCAGGAGGAACACCGGCGGCGAAGGCGGCCUGCUGGACCGCGACUGACGUUGAGGCUCGAAAGCGUGGGGAGCGAACAGGAUUAGAUACCCGAGUAGUC